RNAcentral lists this non-coding RNA (47 nucleotides) under Photorhabdus temperata subsp. temperata Meg1. Its description in RNAcentral is "mini-ykkC RNA motif". It matches the Rfam family "Guanidine-II riboswitch aptamer (mini-ykkC)". Rfam says of the family: Simpler in structure and has fewer highly conserved nucleotide positions than the ykkC-yxkD leader. Despite this each of its two stem-loop structures directly bind free guanidine. Therefore, mini-ykkC RNA motif represents a distinct class of guanidine-sensing RNAs. Lineage: Bacteria; Pseudomonadati; Pseudomonadota; Gammaproteobacteria; Enterobacterales; Morganellaceae. The record is from RNAcentral.
UAUUCGGGACGACCUGGAUAUACUUCGGUUUUUCGGGGACGACCCUA